Molecule: ribosomal RNA, 243 nt
Filed under: uncultured bacterium
Lineage: Bacteria
Description: partial 16S ribosomal RNA
Rfam family: Bacterial small subunit ribosomal RNA
Source: RNAcentral
GUCCACGCCGUAAACGAUGGACACUAGCUGUUGGGACGCAAGUCUCGGCGGCCAAGCGAAAGUGAUAAGUGUCCCACCUGGGGAGUACGUUCGCAAGAAUGAAACUCAAAGGAAUUGACGGGGGCCCGCACAAGCGGUGGAGCAUGUGGUUUAAUUCGAUGAUACGCGAGGAACCUUACCAGGGCUUAAAUGUGGAUUGACAGGUUUAGAGAUAGACCCUCCUUCGGGCAAUUCACAAGGUGC